Long non-coding RNA from Anguilla rostrata (American eel), 2120 nucleotides. RefSeq lists it as uncharacterized. The record is from RefSeq and is a predicted model, not a curated record. The transcript has 3 exons. NCBI's taxonomy places the organism in Eukaryota, Metazoa, Chordata, Actinopteri, Anguilliformes, Anguillidae.
UUGACCCAAGCAAUGAAGAUUAAACCUUAUCCUUCUUAAUAGCUAGCUGACAGAAUUUUUUCUUUAUCAAAGCAUAAAUGCUAGCAGACUGUAGAGGAGAAUCAGAGGAGAAGCUUUAUGCUGGACGUUUAUAUUCAAAAGGAGACCGAGUUGUGAGAACGGAGAAUAUUAUUUGCAAUUGUCAUUUGAGUACGAGUUUCAGAUGUCAUUCCGGAGUCUUGUGGCUGGGUGAAAUAACAGAUGCACUUUGACACUAAGGGGCCCGGAGCGAACCCCACAACCGAACGCCUGUUUAAGAAACCGGAAGAGCUGGCACAAUGCAUCAGAGAUUGGACCGGACUGGCACACACAGACUUUGAAAGGUGUGGGAAGAAACAGCUCGCAGUUGCACGCCAGUGCUCUCCACAGUCACACUCCCGCGCGGGUGGCACGAUGACCUGCCCUGUUCCGCUCUUACAGGGCUUCCUACUGGUACUUCACAAAAAACCAAAGGAUUAAUGGUAAAUAUGGAAUAAGGGGUCAUGUAAUGGGUCUUCCUUCACCUACUGCUUUGUGUUUUCAGAUAUACAGCAUAAUAUUUCUGUCAUACAAGUCUGUAUAUAUACUGUAUACACUAGAUAUGAAUAUACACUUUUUACUAACAUUUAUGGCAAUUACGUGAUAAGUCUGAGAGAUACAUACCAUACUGUAAUGUAAUACUCUUUUAUAUUCAAUUUUUUUGUACACUCACAUAUACUCUUUGCUUUGAGGCAAAUGAGAGGUGCUAUUUUAUAAUGAUUUUUAAACAUCAUCUUUGGAGAAAAACGGAAUAAUGAUAUACUGUAAUAACAAGAAAAUAAAAUAAUAUGGGGGUCAGUAAGACAUGAAAAAAUGAAUUAAGGGAGAAGAGAGGGAGAAAGCUGAUAAGCAUACGGAGUACUAUGUGUACAGCCUAUCUGUGCUUCUGUCCAAGAACAACACUUGAUAAACAUUUGUACCCCUUUUAACAUCUGCUAUUUGCUUUAUUUCAUGGAUGUUACUUGAAAAUGAUUAUUACCAUAUCAACAAAAUAAUAAUUUUUAAAAAUAUUGAAUGUCUGAAAAUGUCAGUAGCAAUUUUUGCUUUCAAUUGCACUUUUCUUUUCCUGCUGCCAUGAAUUUUUACACCUGUGGGAAAUCAAAUUCAUAAUUUUCACAUUUCUUAAAAUCCUGAAUGACUUACAGUGAAUGAUCUAUAAUAGAAGCAAUAUUCAGAGAUGAGGACAAAAAUUAGUGUUAAUUGACGAGUGAACUCCAGGUUCCCAACAAAAUUGUUGCUGCUAAUUACUAUUUUUUUCAGUGAAUGACCUUCAGUCUUGUUAGGAAUAAUUAUAUCCUGCCAAGGGACAUAUUUAAUGUGCUGGGUAUUAUUUCAGUAGGUGCUCGGAAGGAAAUGACAGCAUAAAUAGAUUCAGCGGGCAUUAGAGAAUCCUUUUGGUGUUGCUCUGGGGGAGACUUAUCUUAAAAUAUUAAAAGAUACUGUAGGGUCUUUUCAAAUUUGAUUUUAUCAUCAUUUUCUGUAUAUGAUUUUGCAUUUUGAAGGAAUGCAAAAAAUGUUUGGAAUUCUUCGGGCCUGGGUUAUGUCAGUUUGGAUGAUUCCCUUUUCAGGGCAAAUAAAAUUCAGGUAACCGUGUGUUGACACUGUAGCUACAAAGGUGAUAUGCAUCAACCCAAAAAAGCAUUGGAAUUGAAGCACACAACCAGACCACAAUGUGAAACAAGCAGAGAUUGGGAGGAUUUUAAUGUGAUUGCUCUGACGGAGUCAAGCAUCUCUAAAAGCAUAAAGCCCAUAUAGCAUGGAUAUUUAUCAGGUAACUGCCAAAGUGAUACUGUAAUUUGAACGCAAAUCUUUUCACAUAAAAAUGAUACCUUUUUAUACAGGUUGGUAUGCUCUAAGAAGAGUUAUUUUCAUUGAAACAAGGAAAAUAUCUGCUCUUAGAUAUACAUACUGUAUGCAUAUUUAUGCACAUGUAGUGGUUCCAUUUCUAAACAUUAAGCAGGUAUCUGUUAAUGGAGAUGUCAUGUCUUUGAAGGGGAAUUUUUGUUUGUUACAACUGAAAGAUUUCACUGAAAUAUUGACAGUAUUAUUUAUUUAUUUUUAUU